Xenia sp. Carnegie-2017 is the source of this 1326-nucleotide long non-coding RNA. RefSeq lists it as uncharacterized. The transcript has 4 exons. The record is from RefSeq and is a predicted model, not a curated record. NCBI's taxonomy places the organism in Eukaryota, Metazoa, Cnidaria, Anthozoa, Malacalcyonacea, Xeniidae.
UUUAACAAGUUUGUGUACAUUCUACUUCAUUUAUCUUCGAGAAUUACGUAAAAGAAAGAUAUACUAUGAAGUUCUGUGUCCACCUUGUCAAUUGGUGGGACUGCAAAUCAGUUCUGGUGUUUAGCUGUUGAUCACUGAAUUAUGGUCAUCCUCGUUUUUCUCAAGAUUAACAAGAUACGUUCCAGGUAGCUGUGAAUAAGCUGUUGUAUUUUUUACACCACCCGCUUCAUCAGGAUCAUAUUUUACGAAGAUUACGAAGAGAAUGAACAAGAUGAUUUGAAAGAUGAUUGCAAUGAGGGAAAACUUCAUGUUUCUUCACUUCUAGAUGUGAUCACUGGCACACUUAGAGCAGUCUGGAAGCAGAAAGGUGUAUGUCCAAAUACUUCAACUCUUCGACCGUGCUCUCAUAUUUCACUGGCUACCAGAGAGAAAGAGAGAGAGAGACAGCAAUUGUACCCACGUUAAUGCCAACGAGGCACAUACACACAGUGGCGUAACUUCUAUGAGCUCUUGUGGGGGAGCAGAACAGAGCCAUGGGCAGCUAAGUAUUCAGGUUGGAAUGGUGCAACCUGAACAGUGUUGUUUAUGAAAACAAAUAUAGAAGUAGGUUUAUAUUUGGGAAAAUGGAAGCACUGGAUAGUUCUUAUUAAAAGUCAUGUUUGAAUUCGUGUUCCUUGUAAUUUAAAAGUUGUACAUUGGGUAUUUUUCGAGUUAAUAUUGCAUUCUGUUAACGAUUUUUAACGAAAAUGUUUAAGUUGUCAGAUUUCGGUGUUAGGAGAGGCACGCCAUCCAAAAAGGACCACAGGCAGCCUGAUUCAAACUUACACCACUGACCCGACAAUUACAUUGGUUGUUUAGUUAAGAAAUAAGAUAUGUUUACUGUGUUUGUACAGGCUUUUGCAAAGCAAAGAGACCUUUGGGAGAACUCAAGAGUUGAUCAGUGCUACUUGCUGGUUUUAAUGUGAAACAAAAUGUUUUUGAUUUGCCGACUCGUGAACUAUUAUACGACGAUAAAGUCUUCUGGGAAAUCUUGGACAGAAUAUUUGUAAUUUGGAAUCUCUGGCUAAAUAACAGGAAAGAAAACAAAUCACAUACUGGAGGGCCCUUGUCACAAGAGCAAGCGUCAGACAAAAAAAAUGCGUCAUCUCCACGUAUAUUCUUUUUUAUAACCGAAUCUGCUCAUAAAUAUCAUAAAUUUUCAUAUAGAUAUACUUCAUGCAUUGAUUGGUAAAAUAUACCCUUGUGAUGCUGCAGUAAGUCCGACUUUUACUAAUGUAUCGUUGUUUAUGUCUUUUUAAUUAAGAUAAUAAUGAUUUUCUUUGAAAU